AAGUCGUAACAAGGUAUUCGUAGGUGAACCUGCGAAUGGAUCAUUAACACUAAUGAACACCAAUAUACCAAACACAACAAACAAGGUCAAGCCGUUCACACGGUUCGAUCUGAGGACUCGGUGGGAAGAAUGAUUGCAUUGUGCGCAUUCGUGCGGUCUCUUCCUUCAGGCUUCCUUCAUAAUUUUUUAUAUUUCAAUCUCUUAUAAACAACCAAAAACCAAUCAUCAGAACUGGCCUUUGAUUAGGCAUUUGAUCUGAUUCUAAACCAAGCCUUCAACAACCGUCACUGGUUGUUUGUCGGAUACAUUAACAACAAUUGAAUACAACUCGUUGCAAUGGAUAUCUUGGUUCUC
This 354-nucleotide unclassified non-coding RNA is filed under the name fungal sp. RNAcentral's name for it is "partial internal transcribed spacer region". The stretch from base 1 to 46 matches the Rfam family "Eukaryotic small subunit ribosomal RNA", at positions 1786 to 1831 of the family's 1831-position model. The record is from RNAcentral. Lineage: Eukaryota; Fungi.